This 526-nucleotide ribosomal RNA is filed under the name Sphenomorphus muelleri. RNAcentral's name for it is "partial 16S ribosomal RNA". It matches the Rfam family "Bacterial large subunit ribosomal RNA", at positions 1818 to 2595 of the family's 2925-position model. The record is from RNAcentral. Lineage: Eukaryota; Metazoa; Chordata; Lepidosauria; Squamata; Scincidae.
GCCUUUAGCAACACAAGUAUUAAAGGUCCUGCCUGCCCAGUGAAACUUCUUUCAACGGCCGCGGUAUUCUAACCGUGCAAAGGUAGCGUAAUCAUUUGUCUUCUAAAUAAAGACCAGUAUGAACGGCUAAAUGAGGACAGGCCUGUCUCCUACAACCCAUCAGUGAAACUGAUCUCCCAGUCCAAAAGCUGGGAUACACACAUAAGACGAGAAGACCCUGUGGAGCUUAAAACUCAAUACUAAUAAAACACCAAAUUUUAAUUAGUAGAAAUUUUAAGUUGGGGCGACUUCGGAACAAAACAAAACUUCCGAGCACAGAACCACCAAUUCCAACCAAGGCCAACAGGCCAAAGCAUAAAACUUGACCCAGUCUCACUGACCAACGAACCAAGUUACCCCAGGGAUAACAGCGCUAUCUUCUUCAAGAGUCCAUAUCGACAAGAAGGUUUACGACCUCGAUGUUGGAUCAGGACACCCAAAUGGUGCAGCCGCUAUUAAAGGUUCGUUUGUUCAACGAUUAACAGUC